RNAcentral lists this transfer RNA (75 nucleotides) under Gemmatimonadota bacterium. RNAcentral describes it as "Gemmatimonadetes bacterium (sponge metagenome) tRNA-Ala". It matches the Rfam family "tRNA". From Rfam's summary of the family: Transfer RNA (tRNA) molecules are approximately 80 nucleotides in length. Their secondary structure includes four short double-helical elements and three loops (D, anti-codon, and T loops). Lineage: Bacteria; Pseudomonadati; Gemmatimonadota. The record is from RNAcentral.
GGCCGGGUGGCAGAAUGGCUAUGCAUUCCCUCCGCAAGGGGUUUUAUGCCGGUUCGAGUCCGGCCCCGGCCUCCA